This 1057-nucleotide long non-coding RNA is filed under the name Homo sapiens (human). RNAcentral's name for it is "non-protein coding lnc-RGMA-7:12". Lineage: Eukaryota; Metazoa; Chordata; Mammalia; Primates; Hominidae. The record is from RNAcentral.
GUCUGGCCAUGUGGGAUGUCUGUUCCUCGCUUCCCUCCUGCCAUGGCUGUUAAGUUUCCUGAGGCUUCACCAGAAACCAAGAGGAUUCCAGCACCAUGCUUCCUGUAUAGCCUGGAGAACUCCAAGAAGGAUCGUGUCAGUCCUGCAACUUGUCAGUGGAAUUAAAUUUCAGGCGUUUUAAAGAUAAAUGGUAAAACUGAACUGGAAAUCCAUCUGGCCGGCUGCCUGCUCUAAUGAAUAACCCCACUUUGGCUCGUGCAAUGACUUCUUCCCUUUGGAAUGCAAGUGCGGUGGCAGUGUCAAGGAUGCCUGUGUGUUUGCAGCAGGUUCCUUCCAGAAGCAGCUGCAAGUGCCACCUCCAGGCCAUCUGGCCAAUGUGAGGAAAGGAGGCUGCAAGGGCUUGGCAAAAACAACUUUCUGUUCCUCUGGUAUCCCCUGAUAACUGAUUUCAAGUUAUGGCCAAGGACUGCCUUAUCGCCGUCAGUGGCUGUCAAAAAUUUAUAAGUAUAUUCAUUUCCCUAUUCAACUUAAUUGGUAUUUUGGGUAUGACACUAGAAAAGCAAGUUAGACUUGCCUGUUGGAGUCCAAGGAUACCUCCAACAAAAUUCUAGACAAUAAAAGAAAGGGUAAGUGUCUGAGGGGAGGGGGCACUUACAAAUUAUUCCAUUUAAUGCUAAUUCGAGGCUUCCAGAUUCAUUUUGGGAAAAUCAAAGAGCAAGAGCUGUAUGCAUGGCUUUUUAAAACACAAAGAAAAUUGGGAAGCAUGGGCUUCCCAAUUUUCCUGCGCAUAAACUUCUAGAACAAUUUCUAUUGUUGAUACUUUAAAAAAAAUCUUUUUCUUUUCUGUGAUGUGGUCUUUUAAACUCAUACCACAACUUAUGGCUCCCUCUACUUCCUAUAUUUUAAUUGAUCUUGAGGUUAUUUUCAAGUCACUGGGCUUAAUGAACAAAUAUUUUAGAAUUUCUUCCUUUAUAUACACUCAUUUCUGUCUCAAUAAAAUGUCUAAUCAGGAAUUCACUUGUGUAGAAAAUAAAAAAUAGAAGUACAUACCCUUCAA